UAAGUGUAUACAAAAUUUUAACAGCCUUGGCGGACUCGGUUAGAUGCCUUGCGCAAGGUAUCACCGAGUAUGAGUUUUGGCACGAGCCAAAGUUUUAAGAAAUUCAUAAGCCAAGUUGAUUACUCGAUUUUUAUGGAUUGAUUUUAUUUGGUUGAAAUGAGUUGAAUGGUAAUGAAAUUACAGUAUGAUGAUUUAUUUUAAUUGUCUCCAUUUACUCGACUUUAGAUAGUUUAGAUGGUAUCUGUUUACUCACUGAGAUUUUAUAAUCUCACCACCCUUAUUUCCUCACAUUUCAGGCUCAGGGAAUUCCAUAGUUAGCUGACUUGAACAAGGACCUUCAUUUGGACUCGAAUCGGUAAAAGCUGUAGGUUUCCAGCUUCCGAUGCAUUUUGGAUAGAUAUGGGCCCACGUGUCACUGUAAAAGAAAUUUU
RNAcentral lists this long non-coding RNA (431 nucleotides) under Theobroma cacao (cacao). RNAcentral describes it as "long non-coding RNA (TCAC_LNC000420)". The record is from RNAcentral. Lineage: Eukaryota; Viridiplantae; Streptophyta; Magnoliopsida; Malvales; Malvaceae.